UACGGGGGGGGCAAGCGUUGUUCGGAAUUACUGGGCGUAAAGGGCUCGUAGGUGGCCAAUUAAGUCAGACGUGAAAUCCCCAGGCUUAACCUGGGAACUGCGUCUGAUACUGGUUGGCUUGAAUUCGGGAGAGGGAUGCAGAAUUCCAGGUGUAGCGGUGAAAUGCGUAGAUAUCUGGAGGAACACCGGUGGCGAAGGCGGCAUCCUGGACCGGCAUUGACGCUGAGGCGCGAAAGCCAGGGGAGCAAACGGG
RNAcentral lists this ribosomal RNA (253 nucleotides) under uncultured bacterium. RNAcentral's name for it is "partial 16S ribosomal RNA". It matches the Rfam family "Bacterial small subunit ribosomal RNA", at positions 524 to 776 of the family's 1533-position model. The record is from RNAcentral.